This 52-nucleotide microRNA precursor is filed under the name Marmota monax (woodchuck). Lineage: Eukaryota; Metazoa; Chordata; Mammalia; Rodentia; Sciuridae. The record is from RNAcentral.
UUAAAAGUGUAAGUAUGUCCCAAAUAUUGCUUGGGAUAUACGUAUGCUAAAA